GACAGAGGCCUCAAGCGUUAGGCGGAAUCACUGGGCUUAAAGCGUGUGUAGGCGGACUGGUAAGUACCUUGUGAAAUCCCACGGCUCAACCGUGGAACUGCUUGGUAUACUGCUUGUCUUGUGCAACCUAGGGGCGAGCGGAACAGAUGGUGGAGCGGUGAAAUGCGUAGAUAUCAUCUGGAACGCCAAUGGUGAAAACAGCUCGCUGGGGGUUUGCAGACGCUGAGACACGAAAGCCAGGGGAGCAAACGGG
Molecule: ribosomal RNA, 253 nt
Filed under: uncultured bacterium
Lineage: Bacteria
Description: partial 16S ribosomal RNA
Rfam family: Bacterial small subunit ribosomal RNA
Source: RNAcentral